This is a long non-coding RNA of Talpa occidentalis (Iberian mole), 1253 nucleotides long. RefSeq lists it as uncharacterized. The transcript is spliced from 4 exons. The record is from RefSeq and is a predicted model, not a curated record. Lineage: Eukaryota; Metazoa; Chordata; Mammalia; Eulipotyphla; Talpidae.
UACCGCAGGCACAUACCCCUAGCCUGACCCUGGCCUCCCUGGCUACAGGCCCUCCACCCACGUUCAUCAUGGAACUUCCAACAAUGGGACACUCAAGGCCCUACCAGUGAUGAGUGACAGGAUCCUCCUGGCCCACUGGCUGGCGAGUGACCUGACACCAAAAUCCCAAGUAGAAGCUGCUUUCUCCAACCAUGGCUGGCACCACCGUCUCUGAGCUGGAGGUGUGUGUACAGUAAAUUUAUUGGGGUGCCCUCUGGAUCACGCCUGUGGAGCUAGUAAGAUUGGCCAGAAGGAGUUGAACUGCCACACCUGCCAUGAACAGGGCCUUAGCUAGUCCCACAGGGAACUCAUGAGUUGGGACGAUUUUUUGGGGGGAGCUAUACCCUGCAUCGAUGAUUGCAUCAGGCGCCUUCAGGGGAGGGAAGCGUAUCUUGGAGUGUGGCAAUGACCUUCAGCCAAGGGCAGUGUCCAGGAAAGACUCCACUGGAAGCCAUUGGUGGCUGGUGAGUGUCUGAACCAGAAAUCUAGGAAGGGAAGGUUUCCACUGGUGGAGAGAAGACAGGCUUGGCGUGGAAGAGCUGGGUGUGAAUCCUGGGUCAGUAGCUGGGUGGCCUCGGAGCAAACCAGCAAAAUCCUCUUUCUGAUCUGAAGAUACCUCUGGGAACUGAGUCCCUGUGGGUAGAGAAACACACAGACCUGCUAGCAACCAGGCUGCAUCUCCAGGGAUCACAUUACGCUGAGGCUCCUAGACUAGCAUCGUGAUCCCAACGUCAUCGUAUGUCUACCGGCUUAUGGGAUGUUUUUGGAUUUGAUACCACUUGCCAGGGAAUAUGACCAUCAUAAACAUUGUAAUAUGGUUUUGAAGUGUCCAUUCCAAACAGCAUCCACCCAGAAUUCCCUGCUGCUCGUGUGUAAAGCCUUCACCAUUUUCAAGCACUUGCUCCGUUAGAAGAAAGCCUUCGCCGCCACAGUUUCUAGGAGUUUAUAACAUAAAGCAGGAUGACAUCCAAGGCUUCAUUUUGAUUCUAAUCUCCUGUCUGCUCUACUGCAGUAAAAAGGGUAUUAUUAUGCCUAUUUGUAGAUGAGAAAACAGGCAGAUGGAAGUGGACUUGCCUGAGAUAUAGUACCGGGACAUUAAACUUAAUUUCUGAAUCUUAAUUCCACGACUCGACAGAUAUCAUCUCCUCCUUGUGGAAUCAAAGCAGGGAUGGAUCUGAUUAGUGUAACUCUAUGAACCAAGAAGCUGAGGUUAC